CUGAGAUAUAAAAUUUUAAAUACCAACGAAUGGCGGCUGUGGCGCAAAGUAUCAUGGGAGGAUCUGGUUUGAACGAGACACGAGGAGUUAUACAGGGUUAUUGUUUCGACAGGUUAGAAGUAGUCAUUUGGUAUUAUAUGGUUGCUGAUUUUUGCCAUUUUGAAAUAAAUAAACUGUUGUGGUAUGAGUCGUUCAUAUCUUGUUGGAUUUGUCAAGAAGAUGCUGAGUGAAAGGUGAUAACUUUGGUUUUCAUAAUGCAUACUGGAAAAUCUGAUUCCACAGCAUGAUGCCACAUCAGUUAGACCUUCAUGCUAGACUGAUCAGAUUUAAAUUUAAUGGUGAGAAAAUACAAGUUUGGAGACAACUUGACUGGAAUUGGCUAACCUGAUACUUAUCUUGAAAUAUACCAAUUGUCUUUCUGAGGAUGUAGAGCUAAAGCGGAGCUCAUCUAGAAUCAUGCUUCUCGUGUUUUUAAGGAUGUGAAGAACAAGCUGACAAGACUGUUUUGAUGUCUGAAACUUCAUUGCUCUUGAGGUGACACUUGUUAUAUUUUACCAACAUUUCAGUAACUGGUAAUUGUGUUAUCAUGGAAGAUGUCAACAGUUCAUUGCAUUUGUUUUACAGAACAAUGAAACUGUAUAGUGUAAUGCACAAAAGCAAUCCAAAGAAAACUGUGCUAAUUUUAUACACUGUAUUGUGAUUUUUAAGAAACUGUAUUUUUAAUUUAUUUUUAAAGCAUUUUAAACAAUAAAUAUCGACAAUACUUGAUUAAUUUAAUAAAUGUUUUUGAAUGCACUGAACAAGCAGUUUCCAAACUAUGUGACCAGGGGGAAAGCAUGACAGUCAGCAGCACCCUAUCACUGUCACUCUUAUAAAUUCACCCACAGCUUGAAAAUGUAAGGAAUUUUGUGAUAUCACAUGGAUUCAAACAUAGCUUUCCAACUCACACCCAACAUGUAGAAAAAUAAUAUUUGGAUGUUUUAUGGGCUGUAAUAUACAUACUUGAUCAUAUGUUGUAAACAUUAUAUAUAUACUUCGUGAUGGAUAAUGCCUAUUCUAAAUAUCAGUAUCAUUAAUGAAACUAUAAUAAAUGAUAGGUAGUACUCACAGAUAUAAACAUCAUUACAGAUUAAUUACACAUAAAAAACUGAACACAGUGUUUUAUGAUCAGACAAUACAAGUGUUAUAUGAUGUACAAACUUUUCACAGCUGCUUCAAAAAGAGAUAAGCUCAACUACGUCAUCUAACCACAUGCUUAUUUAUAAAUAUUUUGGACACUAAAGUCGAUGACAGUUCAAGUACUUUCAGUGAAGAUGCAUGGUACUUUAAAGCUGUUUAAUGAACAUGCAUACUGACACAUUUUGCUUUAGUUUCAAAAGCUAAUAGUAAAUUUGAUGGUAAUCUGUCACUGUCGGUAGUAGAAACACUUGUUGUAUGCCAUAAAACCCUUUAAUAGUGCUUAAAGCUCAUUAUCAAUUUGUACUUAACCAAAUGGUCAUUAGUCGCAAAGCUUAUGUAUUAACAUAUCAUCUUAGCCAUUUCUCAACCUUUUUGAUGUCACUGACUGACUUGCUGCCUUUUUAAACUGUUGCAGACUGGUUGUACUGCAAGUACAACAAAAAAAAAAAAUUAUGACUUACAUAAGAAUAUUCUGUAAAUUUUCUUUUCAUGAAAUAUCAUGAACCAUUGGUUGAGAAACACCAA
RNAcentral lists this long non-coding RNA (1704 nucleotides) under Limulus polyphemus (Atlantic horseshoe crab). Its description in RNAcentral is "uncharacterized LOC106463093, transcript variant X2". The record is from RNAcentral. Lineage: Eukaryota; Metazoa; Arthropoda; Merostomata; Xiphosura; Limulidae.